RNAcentral lists this small RNA (443 nucleotides) under Arabidopsis thaliana (thale cress). Its description in RNAcentral is "ATSL220050". The record is from RNAcentral. Lineage: Eukaryota; Viridiplantae; Streptophyta; Magnoliopsida; Brassicales; Brassicaceae.
UAUUGAUAAUAAAUGUAGAAAAAUAUCAUAAAAUACAGCAUAGACAUAGGGGAAAAAUGUCAAUUAAUCCCCCAACUUUCAAAAAAUGGCCAUUUUAUACAUCAACUUCGUAUGCGGCCGUUUAAAUCAUGAAUUUAACGUUGACUAAUUUUAAAAACGUGAUUAUUCGUUGACCAGGCCAAAGCAGACAUGUCGUUAUCAGUCAUUAACGGAACUUCUAACGUCCGUUAUCAUCCGUUAACAACUUUAUUAGUCAAGUUUUAAAUUGUGGCCAUUUUAAACAUCAAGUUCAUAUGUGGCCAUUUAAAACAUGAACUAAACGUUGACUACCAUUUAAAACAUGAAAAAUUCGUUGACCAAACCAAAAUAAACAUGUUGUUAUCAUUCAUUAAAAGAACUUAUAACAUUCGUAAAUUUAUAAGUUUUUAGUCAAUUAUUAAAAA